AUUCCGCGAAUCAUCGAGUCUUUGAACGCAACUUGCGCCCGAGGCUUGACCAAGGGCAUUUCUGCCAGAGCGUCACC
RNAcentral lists this ribosomal RNA (77 nucleotides) under Bryoxiphium japonicum. RNAcentral describes it as "Bryoxiphium norvegicum subsp. japonicum partial 5.8S ribosomal RNA". It matches the Rfam family "5.8S ribosomal RNA", at positions 79 to 154 of the family's 154-position model. From Rfam's summary of the family: 5.8S ribosomal RNA (5.8S rRNA) is a component of the large subunit of the eukaryotic ribosome. It is transcribed by RNA polymerase I as part of the 45S precursor that also contains 18S and 28S rRNA. The record is from RNAcentral. Lineage: Eukaryota; Viridiplantae; Streptophyta; Bryopsida; Bryoxiphiales; Bryoxiphiaceae.